CAUCCCCGUCUCUUUAAAUGUCGCGCGGUAAGAUUUUACAAAGGGUUUGCGAUGGUCAUAAAAAAAUGAGAUAACGCAAUUACCUAGAAUUUUAAUUUUUUGAUGGUAUUUAUUCUUUUAAGUUUCGUUUGGACAUCACUUUGCUUUUGGCGAUCGUGAGCGGUUGUUGAUAGUGUUUUGCUAUUUUUUGCUGAGCGUUUUCUUCUUUAUAUUUGAUUUUGAUAGUCUUACGACUGCGUUAUUUUUAUAUUAAGAUAGUAUUAAUUUAUUGUUAUUUUUCGUAGCGGUUUCUUGUUUUUUUUUGCUUUUGAUAGUGUUAAAUUAGAGUAUUAAGGUAGUGAUAAUUUAGUGUUAAGUAUUCACGAUGAAGGUGUUAGGUCAACCGGAAAGUAGUUUUGCGCAAAGACUGCGAAUAUGUGCUCUGGCCGAGGCCGGAAUACCCAUUCAUCAAAUUUGCAACCAAGUGAAUUUGUCGGUAAGAUUGAAUAAUUUUGAAUAUUAUGAUUAUAUAGUAAGCUUAAUUCCGAUUUUAUCUACUACCAAUUAUAAUUAUUUUGACAAUGUAAAUACACAAUAGUUUAACUUUUAAUAAAAUAAUUUUGUGCUUUUGAUCUGCCCAUCAAUUUUGUUUUUAGAAGGCAAUAAAAUCUGUGUGAAUUUGAAGUAAAAUUUGCCCGAUUUUUAAUGAAACUUGGGUGUAUUUUAAGGAGCUCUAUAAUAAUCAUUUUGAUUUGCCAAGAAUAAUGGAAUACAUUAAUCAAAAGGGUUACUUGAAUUAUUUUUGAAAACAUGAAAUUCUUUGUGGUUCUAUUUUUCGCUUUGUUGGUAGAGAUGGACAGUAAACAAAUGGAUAAGGCGAGGCGCUUUGAAUGGCGAGAGGGGUUUAAAGAGCACACGAGUAGUACCAAGAAAAACAACUGCCGAUGAAGAUGAGCGAAUUGUCAAUUAUGCUCGUAUGCACCCAACUUGCCCAUCAAGAGCUAUCCGGCAGGAAUUAAUACUCGACUGCUCCCUUCAAACCAUUCGAAACCGUUUAAACAAGAAUGAUAUUUUAAAGUAAUACAUAGAAAAUAGCAGAAUGACUAAACAAUUUUAAUAAUUUUAUAGGUUUGCGGGCUAGAAUACCGGCAGAAAAAAUUCAGCUGACACCCCAGAAUGCCCAGGACAGAUUGAGAUUUUGUGAAGAAAAUAUAAACCGGGAUUGGCGAGGUGUCAUAUUUUCGGAUGAAAUGACGUUUUUGUUAUCCCAAAAUCCGAAACAGCGAGUUUGGCGUCGUAGUGGGACGAGAUAUGACGCCGAAAAUGUCGUUGCGAUGGCAACCAGUGGACGAGUCUCACUUGGUGUAUGGGGUUGGAUCAGCGAUGCCGGGCCUGGAGCGUUGGUUAAAGUUUCGCCUCCAGCAUUUACUGCUCGGCAUUAUGUUGGGGUUUUGGAAGAAAUUUUUAUUCCAAGUGUGAGGGCAGUAUAUCCUGAGGAUGAGGUGGAGGUUCUGACAAUUGUACAAGACAACAGCCCCAUCCAUACCGCUCGGUUAGUCGAGGAGUGGUUUCAAGACAAUAACAACGUAGAACGAUUAAAAUGGCCUCCACGCUCGCCCGAUUUAAAUCCCAUUGAAGAGGUGUGGGGUUAUAUGAUAAGCGGGUGAGAAUUUGACGAACGAUUUCGGGACCGAGCUAUUUUAGAAGAAUACGAUAUGCGGAAAUGGGAUAGUCUUCGUGGCGGGGAUUUAUGUCAGCGAUUGGUCGGCUCAAUGACAUCCCGAUUAGAAGAAUGUCAAAAUAAUAACGAGUUAUACACCCAUUAUUAAAUUUUGACAUAACAAAUUUUAUUCAUUAUUAAUGAGAAACAAUAAGCGCAUACCUGGCUGUGGUCCUCAAGACGAAAAAGAUAAAACUCUUCAUCCCACGGGAUGAAGAGUCCCUUCCAAAG
RNAcentral lists this long non-coding RNA (1930 nucleotides) under Onthophagus taurus. Its description in RNAcentral is "uncharacterized LOC111416685". Lineage: Eukaryota; Metazoa; Arthropoda; Insecta; Coleoptera; Scarabaeidae. The record is from RNAcentral.